GGGCGAUGCACUCGUUAAUCCGGUCACGUCUCUUUUUCUCGAUGAGCCGGUGCGGCAGUUUGUAGGUUUCCUGCAAAGCGCACGGAGAGAUGGUGGGCGCGGGAGGAAGGAGGGAGAGGGACGAGGAAGGGUCAUGACUUGCGCAUCGGUUGCAGGAGCCCUGACUGGCAAGAACCCCCGGAUGCACCCAGAACUACUUGGAGUUGAAAGCCGCGCAGAAGGCAGGACUGGAGUUGAGGCUUGAAGAGGCCAGGGGUGCCAACUUACCCUGAUGACAAGUUCCAGGUCCCCCAGGGAAAGUGCAGGAGCGAGAGCCUGAACCGGCAUUCUGGACUCGACCGUGUGUGCCCAUGUUACCCCUGACAGUCUGCUUGGCAGUCACCCAUCGAGAAGAACCACUGGCCACUGGACUAAACCCUCCCCUGUAUAUUUGUUCAGGAGCUCUCAGAGUUCUCAUUCCUCAGGUCUGUUUGGACCCUGUGCCUGGAUCCUAGUGAUGUCUUCAUUCUCCAUCUCAUGAGAGUCUUCAGUGCAAACGGAGGGACAGGAUUUCCUGGUCUAGAUACUUCCCGGUGACCACCUUCAAGUUUCUCCCUUGUAGCCCUCCUCUAACAUUUACAUCUAACAGUCAAAAACAUGUCUCAGGGGCCCAGCUUCUACUGAACUUUUGAGAAAGUCAUCUCCAGCGAAGACAUGUUGUUUAUACAUGAACUCAUCUUGGCGGGUGUGUGUGGUCAGGAGGGUGGGGCUGGGCGAGGGCUGGUGGCUGCACCGCCUGUCUGUCGGCCGCAUCUGUCGCCCUGGGUCUGGGAGCCCCUCUGUGCUUCGCUCGCCCUCCUUGCUGCUGGCACCUCACAUACCAAUGUCCUUAGGCACUGUCUGCCCCAGUCCUACAAUCCAGCCAGUGCGGUUCCCGUCACAGCAAGCACUUCCUCUGUCAGAGCAGACAAACCGACUCAAGCCACAGCCGGAAGCAGGCUGACCACAAGUGCUAAGGUUCUGGUUAGUUCUUUUCUAGGUUCAACUGAAGAGGCAGUUCUAAGAAAGACAGCUGAGAUCAUCAGUUACCUCCUCAGAGAAAGUCCACUGAUGGUAGUUUUGUUUACCAUGUAAACAACAUAGCAUUUAUGGCUAAAUCCGUUAUUCUUUCACAGCCAGACUAGAGAAUUGCAAGGUUUUUUUUUUUUUUUGGUGGGGUCAUGAGGAUAAAAGACAGGAUCACUGGCCAGAAGAUGGGUCCCAGGAAAAUGGACCUGUAAGCCACAGAGUCCCCUCCACCCUUCAGAAUCCCCUUGGGGAAGAUUCAGGAGAGCAGAGAUGGUCCUUUCAAAGCAACUGUCAGAGGCACUGCACCUUAUCUUACCAAGCAAGAUGAAAGACUGGGUUUCCCAGAGUGCCUGGGGAUGGCUGGAGCGAACCAAAACUGGGGAGGGGCAGCCUGGAAACAGACUCCUGGCUUCAUAUAUCCAAACCCCCAGAAAAUGCCUGGAAGAGGGUGGAGGAGGAAGACUGAAGAUAACCCUUAACUUUUCUACAGCAGGAAUAUAUUACACUCAAUAAACCUUAAACAUUUGCCUCU
This is a long non-coding RNA of Capra hircus (goat), 1579 nucleotides long. RefSeq lists it as uncharacterized. NCBI's taxonomy places the organism in Eukaryota, Metazoa, Chordata, Mammalia, Artiodactyla, Bovidae. The transcript is spliced from 6 exons. The record is from RefSeq and is a predicted model, not a curated record.